UGGGGAAUCUUGCACAAUGGGGGAAACCCUGAUGCAGCGAUGCCGCGUGAGUGAAGAAGGCCUUUGGGUUGUAAAGCUCUUUCGUCGGGGAAGAAAAUGACUGUACCCGAAUAAGAAGGUCCGGCUAACUUCGUGCCAGCAGCCGCGGUAAUACGAAGGGACCUAGCGUAGUUCGGAAUUACUGGGCUUAAAGAGCUCGUAGGUGGUUAGAAAAGUUGGUGGUGAAAUCCCAAGGCUUAACCUUGGAACUGCCACCAAAACUUUUUGACUAGAGUAUGAUAGAGGAAAGUGGAAUUUCUAGUGUAGAGGUGAAAUUCGUAGAUAUUAGAAAGAACACCAAUUGCGAAGGCAACUUUCUGGAUCAUUACUGACACUGAGGAGCGAAAGCAUGGGUAGCGAAGAGG
RNAcentral lists this ribosomal RNA (404 nucleotides) under uncultured bacterium. Its description in RNAcentral is "bacterial SSU rRNA". It matches the Rfam family "Bacterial small subunit ribosomal RNA", at positions 355 to 776 of the family's 1533-position model. The record is from RNAcentral.